Molecule: long non-coding RNA, 3450 nt
Filed under: Ornithorhynchus anatinus (platypus)
Lineage: Eukaryota; Metazoa; Chordata; Mammalia; Monotremata; Ornithorhynchidae
Description: lncRNA (ENSOANG00000045484.1)
Source: RNAcentral
GUUGGAUUAGAUUGUGAUCCCUGUCCUGCAUGGGACUCACAAUCUAAAUCUAGGCCCUCUUUUCCUCCCCAACCACCAUUCUCUGCCCCACCCCCCAACACAGUGGUUCAGAUUUCAAAUGAAGAGGGGAGAGAGGGAGCGGUGCAACGGAGAAGAAGCAACAUAAGGGAAAUAAGGACCUGGCUGACUCCUACCCCCUUUUUAAAGGAACUCUGGACAAUUCAUCGAUGCCAGAAACACCAGCCCCCCUCCCAAAAGCAGACUUCGGUGAAAGUGGCCACAGCCUCUCCUGAGCAGUACUGCCAAGGAGGGACAGGCUUUACUGUCCUACAUUUCUUUCAUGAGUUAAGAUUACCCUGGUGAGUACUGAGAGAGAAAAAAAAAGAGAGAGAGAGAAACUGCCAGCCUUUUAGCACUCUUCCUCUUUUUUUCCCCAACAUACUCUGCUUCUCUUUUCCCUCCCUCUCCUCCCCACCACCCCCAACACCUAUGCCUUUUUCCCUUCUUCCCCCUCUCUAGCUCUGUCUCCUGUUCAUUCUUUUUUUAACCUCUCCAAAGUCUUGGACCACGAGCCCUGUUCCCUGCUCUACUUUGUGUUGUGGAAAAUUUAAUCCCAUUAUUUCAGGAGAGCUGUUUUAGCCGUCUGCCUCUGGCUUAGGGCUGUGGUCUGGUUUGGCUUGGUUUGCUGAGUUUUGUGAAGGAUACAGAAUUCCUGAGAACAAAUAUACAACUCUCUCUCUAUUGUAAUAAUCUUUGACCCUCUAAAUUUUCUUCACUUAGCCGCCAAGUAUAUAACUAUUCAUUUCUGGAUACUCUCCUCCUCCCAUCCAAGUGUUCCCCCCGUAUGUGGGGCCUUAGCUCAGAGUAAAACGCUGGCACCUAGGGGUUGAUAUUAGUCUUUCGUGGCUCCAAAAAACAUUAAUCUUGUCUGCAAGGGAUAAUAUUUGGUAAUUUUAACUUGGCCUCUGAAGUUGUUAGCUCCAGGGAGAUUUAAGUUAAAUUUUUCAUUUGAAAACUUGUGUAUUUAAUGUUUGACUCAUGCAGAAAUUGCCACAGGGUUUAUUUAUUCUCCCCUUAUAGCCACUGGUCAUGUGCAGAGGUAGCACUGCAACAUGAUUUAGUGGCACAGGGGUCUACACUGGGGGCCAAUAUGGGGCAGGAAUCAACCUUUUAAAGCCCCUGACCAGACAUUGCCUUGCUGGAAUGACUAAAACUACCAGGUUUAGACUCCAUUUACUCUAGAGAGCAGCCCCGGAAGUACAACACGAGUUAUUUCUGGGUCACUCUAGAAGGACGGAGUCCAAAUUCCAUGGUGAAAUUGUUCUGAAACCUGCAAUCAGGAGGCCAUAAGGGUGUCUCUGUCAGUAUUCCCACCCUGCCUCUUUCCUUCUCUUCAGUUGCUGUGGGAGGGGAGUGGGCGAAACUGUCAACCGAACACUGGGGUUCCCUGCUCUUAGUUGAGCUAGGGUGCAGAGAGGUAUAUGCUCAAGCCCUUAAUUGGGCCACGUAUUUUCAUGCCUAGUGUUACCAUAGAAAUUCGCCUGCACCUGAGCCAAAUUGCCACUGUUGCUAGGCACCAAACUCAGACCUACACCUGCUCAAAGGGUGCCCUGGCCCCUGAUCCAGUGUGAUUGCAGAGGUUUGAAUCGAGAAACUGCAAAGGCAGGAGCUUUACCCUCCUGCUCUGUGAGCCUCGUUAAAGUGCCAUCUAGUGUUCCUCUGAGUCUCAAAAACAUUUUUGGUUAAAAUGUAAAAUCCCAGGCAAAUUUAUCCAGAAAUAAGGGUGCAAGCAUAGCCUUCUCCCUUCCUUUCAUCCUCUUUCCCAAACAUGCAAUGAUUGUAGGAAAUGAAUAUUAAGGGAGAACAGCAGAGCAGGGGUUGAGAAGCUGUGGCUUGCAUAAUAUGGAUUGUGGAGGGAAGGGUCCCUGCCUCAAUAACAUUGGAAGUAUGUGAAGAAGCCCCCAGAUAGCUAUUGGCAACUGUUGCCAUGCCAAGUCAACUUGCCUGGAAUCCAGCCUCUAGCUAUGGAUCCUGAAUCCCCGUAUUGCUCCUCCGGCCCUGCCCAAUCCAGGACCCUCCCUCCAAGGAGCCUUUCCUGACUAAACCCUCCUUUCCUCUUCUCCUACUCCCUUCUGUGUUGCCCUGACUUGCUCCCUUUAUUCAUCCCCCCUUCUAGCCCCACAGCACUUAUGUACAUAUCUGUAAUUUUAUUUAUAUUUAUAUCUGUCUCCCCUUCUAGACCGUAAACUCAUUGUGGGCAGGGAAUGGGUAUGUUUAUUGUUAUAUUGUACUCUCCCAAAUGCUUAAUACAGUGCUCUACACACAGUAAGCACUCAAUAAAUAUGAUUGACUGACUGACCGACCCUCUCCCCACUUCCUUAUGAAGCAGGGGUACCAUGGAGGGCAGGCAGGGGUAAGAAGGCCACAUUUAGAGACAUGGCUGGAGCCCAGGUUUCCCUCCAGAUACACAUCUUCCUGUUCGCCUCAAAACCUCCCGGAAUUGUAGAGAGUCUGUGUAAAGGAAAACUAUGGUUGUAUUAACACCCAUCGCCUCCUAUUCAGAAAGUCUCUUCCUUCUUCCCUAAACAGAACAGCUGCGGCAUUUCUCAUGACAGCCUGAGUUGUAAAUGUUCACAACUUGCAGGGCAAAGGGGAAAGGAAAAAAAGGCCGAGGUGGAUUCCAGUUAAUUUGACAGUAAAGAACGCAGUUUGGAGUUAGGAUUUUUUUUCCCCAUCUCAGAACAGGGACCUUUUCACAUAAACAUGUGCUUGGCAGGGCACAGAAUGGAAACUUCUUUCUAGACUUUUGCCAAAGAUUUCUUCAUCGUGUCUGUUUUGUGUGUCCUGGGCCGGCGGGGAAGAUACGUGAGCAGGCUCUAUUCACUACUGAGAAAGGCAUCGAGGCUUGGAGUAUAGGGGUAGACUGGUAGAUCUCAGCAGUAGGACACAGGUAUUUAGGGCGGAGGAUUUGGGUAUAUGGGAGGUGCUUUUAACUCCUGCCAGUUCCCUCAGUUUGGGGGAGAUUCAUGUUAGUGCUGCUGCUGCUGCUGCUGGGGCCCUGAGGGGUUUAGAAAGAACAGCUGGGAGAGCCAGGGAUGCAACCUGGCACUGGACUAGGCAUCCCAGACAGCGGGAGAUGGCAUCUGCCUGGCCCCUCUAGACCCCACAUCUGUGCAGAGGCCUGGGGACAUUGCUGCCUUGAGAACUUGCCCAGGCUAGGAAGUUCACCAGAAUGAUAAUUGAGGGACCAUUUUUGCCUGCUGAUUUUAAAAUGGGGCAACACCUCGAACUAUCUGUAAAUGACAUUUGAGCCUAUCAUCUCGAUGUGCAGGCAAAUGUGGAGGAGAUUACCAGUUACCACUUUGACGUAACUAGCUGCAUUCACACACUGAUAAAAUCUCACUAUCAUCAGUAGUGUGACUUGAGCAUAUGUGCUGUCUAUCUGUGUGU